This 75-nucleotide transfer RNA is filed under the name Clostridium gasigenes. Its description in RNAcentral is "tRNA_Thr_TGT". The stretch from base 6 to 65 matches the Rfam family "tRNA", at positions 7 to 64 of the family's 71-position model. From Rfam's summary of the family: Transfer RNA (tRNA) molecules are approximately 80 nucleotides in length. Their secondary structure includes four short double-helical elements and three loops (D, anti-codon, and T loops). Further hydrogen bonds mediate the characteristic L-shaped molecular structure. tRNAs have two regions of fundamental functional importance: the anti-codon, which is responsible for specific mRNA codon recognition, and the 3' end, to which the tRNAs corresponding amino acid is attached (by aminoacyl-tRNA synthetases). tRNAs cope with the degeneracy of the genetic code in two manners: having more than one tRNA (with a specific anti-codon) for a particular amino acid; and 'wobble' base-pairing, i.e. permitting non-standard base-pairing at the 3rd anti-codon position. The record is from RNAcentral. Lineage: Bacteria; Bacillati; Bacillota; Clostridia; Eubacteriales; Clostridiaceae.
GGAGCAUAGCUCAGCUGGGAGAGCAGCUGACUUGUAAUCAGCAGGUGGCAGGUUCGAUUCCUGUUCAAAGCUCCA